Molecule: small RNA, 83 nt
Filed under: Marmota monax (woodchuck)
Lineage: Eukaryota; Metazoa; Chordata; Mammalia; Rodentia; Sciuridae
Source: RNAcentral
GUUGGGUACACUGGUGUAUGCCUGUAAUCCCAGCAGCUUGGGAGGCUGAGGCAGGAGGAUUGUGAGUUCAAAGCCAGCCUCAG